Molecule: long non-coding RNA, 628 nt
Filed under: Marmota marmota marmota (Alpine marmot)
Lineage: Eukaryota; Metazoa; Chordata; Mammalia; Rodentia; Sciuridae
Description: lncRNA (ENSMMMG00000009597.1)
Source: RNAcentral
GAGGCCAAGGGACCCAGCCAAGGAGGGGGCGGCCGGCGGGAGGGUCCGGAACGCGCGGCCUCGCCCCGUCGCCGUCCGGGCCCAGCUGAGGAAAACGCUGGACAGGCCGACUUGGGAGUCCCUUGGGAGGCGCCUUCCUCCACCCCGCUAAGGUCAGAGGCUCCCACUGUCCUCUAUCGUUUUCCUAUUUGUCCCCACCCCUGAACGCAGCACAUCCUUGUUGGAGAUCCUUAAGCGGCCAGAAGCCCAAGACCUGAAGCCCACACUCCAAGCGUGGUGUCACAGCCUGCUGGCCCUCGAUUUACCCUCCACCCCUUGCAUUGGGCAGCUCUGACUAUCCACCUCUGUAAGAGCCUGCAAGCCCCCACAGGUGCUCCCUACAAAGCCUUAAAUUUGGCCAGCCGUGUGGUUACUGUGAUCUGCCAUGAGCAAAGGUCAGAGGGACCAGAUUUCAGCAGAGACCAACAACACAACUAUCAUCAAAGUCCAGACUCUACUGGGAGGAGACAAGCCAGCUCCCAUAUUGCCAUCUGGACCAACCUGUGGCUCCUGAUUUUUCUGCCUCAGGUGAGAACCAGAAAAAAAAGCAGAGCUUGGGGCUGGGUAGGGGGAAUAUGCCAGAGCAGGG